AGAAGGGGAUAACACUUGGAAACAGGUGCUAAUACCGUAUAACAAUCGAAACCGCAUGGUUUUGAUUUGAAAGGCGCUUUCGGGUGUCGCUGAUGGAUGGACCCGCGGUGCAUUAGCUAGUUGGUGAGGUAACGGCUCACCAAGGCCACGAUGCAUAGCCGACCUGAGAGGGUGAUCGGCCACAUUGGGACUGAGACACGGCCCAAACUCCUACGGGAGGCAGCAGUAGGGAAUCUUCGGCAAUGGACGAAAGUCUGACCGAGCAACGCCGCGUGAGUGAAGAAGGUUUUCGGAUCGUAAAACUCUGUUGUUAGAGAAGAACAAGGAUGAGAGUAACUGUUCAUCCCUUGACGGUAUCUAACCAGAAAGCCACGGCUAACUACGUGCCAGCAGCCGCGGUAAUACGUAGGUGGCAAGCGUUGUCCGGAUUUAUUGGGCGUAAAGCGAGCGCAGGCGGUUUCUUAAGUCUGAUGUGAAAGCCCCCGGCUCAACCGGGGAGGGUCAUUGGAAACUGGGAGACUUGAGUGCAGAAGAGGAGAGUGGAAUUCCAUGUGUAGCGGUGAAAUGCGUAGAUAUAUGGAGGAACACCAGUGGCGAAGGCGGCUCUCUGGUCUGUAAC
RNAcentral lists this ribosomal RNA (619 nucleotides) under Enterococcus faecium. Its description in RNAcentral is "bacterial SSU rRNA". It matches the Rfam family "Bacterial small subunit ribosomal RNA", at positions 135 to 740 of the family's 1533-position model. The record is from RNAcentral. Lineage: Bacteria; Bacillati; Bacillota; Bacilli; Lactobacillales; Enterococcaceae.